RNAcentral lists this long non-coding RNA (1107 nucleotides) under Bos indicus x Bos taurus (hybrid cattle). RNAcentral's name for it is "lncRNA (ENSBIXG00005012535.1)". The record is from RNAcentral. Lineage: Eukaryota; Metazoa; Chordata; Mammalia; Artiodactyla; Bovidae.
CCCUGCUGCUGGCAUCGAAUGCUUUGUGCCCGCUGCAUUCCCGGGGGGCCAGCCUGUCCCUCUGUGUCCGCAGUCCAGGGUGGCUGCUCUCGGGUCCCAGAUGCAAGCGGGGCUGGAGGAGAGGAUCCACAGCUUGGAUGCCUAUGUGAGACGGUUCCAGCGCCUGGUGGGUAGAGUGCACUUGGGGUGUCACUGGAGAAGGGAGGGAGUGUGGGGCUGGGGGGGUCACUGCUCUGCUCUGUCUGGGGCCCCCUCUGAGGGCACGAGGGGUGCAGAUGGCCCCAGAUCCUCAUGCUGAUCCGGCCUCUGUUCUCUCUGCCCAGGUGCAGCCAGCGGGCGCCCUGGAUGGCAUGGCCGGCCUGCUUCUGCGGCUGUGCCAGGCGGGGCUGGGGGCCGUGCAGGAUGGUGGCAGGGCGGUGGCCGCGCUGUGGGGCCUGAGCCCCACUGGGCGGGUGCUCACCCUCCACGUGCCGCUCUCCCUGGAGAGGCUGCGGGCAGGUCUGGAGCAGCUGCGGAAGGAGCUAGAACUCAGAAUCCCAGGGCCACCCUGGCAUCGAUGACUCACUAGGACUCAACUCUCAGCUUGGAGUUGCACCUGCAGCCAUAGGGCCAAGAUACAGAGCCAGGCCGUGGAGGGACAGGUAUAGAGGAGGCUCCAGGGAGACCCCCCCAACCAAGGAGUUCCCAGACUCAUCCUCCAGUGGGAGCGCGUAGGAUGCCCUCACCACCCCCCGCUUCAGAUUGUGACAACACCUGUCAGACAUCAACUGCCCAAGGGAGCUCACUAGAGGCUCCGCACCCAGGCUUUUCAUUGCGGGGUGGUCAGGUGGGAGCCCCUGCCUGGCACAGACCGACAUCCCAGACUCACAGAAGGAAAGGGGGUGUUCAGCAUGUUGUCUGUUGCACCCCAGGCCCAGGAGGGCCCUCUCACUAGGUCUGGGAAUGGUAGGACUCCCCCAGAAUCCAGCCAGGGGCUGCCCUGGCAAACAGGCCUUGCAGACGGGCAGCCUCGGGCCUACCGGGUUGACGUCCACAGUCUCUAGUGCCGCCACCUCAUUCCAGGUCGCAGGCUCUAUUUCCUUCCUGGGGGCCCGGCUUGUCUGGGAG